Pundamilia nyererei is the source of this 1482-nucleotide long non-coding RNA. RefSeq lists it as uncharacterized. The transcript is spliced from 3 exons. Lineage: Eukaryota; Metazoa; Chordata; Actinopteri; Cichliformes; Cichlidae. The record is from RefSeq and is a predicted model, not a curated record.
CAGUACGGUAACAUUCAGCAGCCAGUGUGUCGUUUGUUAGAAAGAAACAAACACAUAGUUCAGAAUAAAAACAGUUGUUGACUGAAGGCAAUGUUUUUGUCUCACUGAUUGCUCUGUUUUGUUAAAUAUUACUUCUUUGAUUGAACGUGGAAUUUUUGGCAUGUUUGACAUGAAUUUAACGUCUACAGUGACACCCGUGCAUCUCAUUUAUCACGAGGUUUCCAGCUCUUUUAAGGAAAAGCAAGCAAAGUUAAGACCCCCCCCCCAAUUCAUAAAUAAUAAGAUUAGUCUGCAUAAUAAAAAUUUGGAUAAAUAAAAAACAUUCAGAUAAAAGAUGUAAUAAUAAAGUUGUUUUUUACAAAACAAUAAGAGGUAAAUUCUCUCCUCAAAAGAGAUACUGUAUAGUCCUGAAACAACCCGCCACUCAAAUGCCCUCUAACCUAUAAAACCACCUUGAGAAUUAACAUAAAACAUACAGUCUGAAUAUUUCAGUAUUCAGACUGAAAGAAUGCUUUUUGUAAAACAAAGAUGAGGUUGUAAUAGGUCUAAUGACUGAAUCCUGAGCUACACUGCUCACUGGUUUAGCAGCGACCCCUGCAUAACAUUCAUUCAGGACAAAUAAACCAAUGAGGAGUGAUGACACUGACACAGAAAGAGAAAACACAGUGUAAGACUAAUCAACCCAUAUACAGCUGGUAAAAUAAGUUCUGAACGUGUCGCCAAUUUUUGAAGUAAAUCUAUUUCUAAAGGUGCUAUCGGCAUGAAAUCCUCACCAGAUGUCAGUAACAACCCAUCCAAUCCACACAUGCAAAUAAAUCAAACCACAGAUGAUAAUAAAUCAAGUUAAUAAUAAAUUAAGUGUAAUAAUGAGAAAUGACACAGGGAAAAAGUAGACGCAAAAGGCAAAAGUCAUGACAUCAGCUGAAAUCAGUCAUUAGUAAUUUGCCACUUAGUGCAAAUGAAUAUCAGCUGGUUCAGUUCUAACUGAUGGCCUAUAAAAUGUGUCUCAUUACCAAGCUGUCAUACAAGAAACAUCUCAUGAUGGGUAAAACCAAUGAGAUCUGUCAAGACCUUCACAUGCUUGUUGUUGCUAAACAUACUGAUGGGAUUGUUACAGAAGAAUUUUUAAACUACUGACGGUUCCAGUGAGCACUGUUGGGGCCAUAAUCGUGAAGUGGAAAGGACAUAAUUUCACCACAAACCAGUCACAACCAGUGGCUCUUUGCAAGACUCCAGACAGAGGAGCGAAAAGGAUGAUCAGAAGAGUUCUCCAAGAUCUGCAAGAAGACCUGAAAUCAGCAGUAUUAAGUCAGAACUGGGGGUGAAAUGCAAAACACUACAGGAUGCACUUUCAGCCUGUCUAAUGUAGACAACACACCAGACAUUAAAUCGGGGAGAAGUGCAGCGGUUCGUAGAGGUGCUGCACAGACCCAAGACACCGAAACCUGCCGUUGACCAUGAUGGCCAUCCUGGUGCAAAGUG